RNAcentral lists this ribosomal RNA (491 nucleotides) under uncultured bacterium. Its description in RNAcentral is "partial 16S ribosomal RNA". It matches the Rfam family "Bacterial small subunit ribosomal RNA", at positions 29 to 507 of the family's 1533-position model. The record is from RNAcentral.
AUUGAACGCUGGCGGCAUGCUAUACACAUGCAAGUCGAGCGGUAACAGGCCUUCGGGUGCUGACGAGUGGCGAACGGGUGAGUAAUGCAUCGGAACGUACCCAGAGGUGGGGGAUAACGCAGCGAAAGCUGUGCUAAUACCGCAUGUGAUCUGAGGAUGAAAGCGGGGGACCGAGCAGCAAUGUUUGGCCUCGCGCCUUUGGAGCGGCCGAUGUCGGAUUAGCUAGUUGGUGGGGUAAAGGCCUACCAAGGCGACGAUCCGUAGCUGGUCUGAGAGGACGACCAGCCACACUGGGACUGAGACACGGCCCAGCCUCCUACGGGAGGCAGCAGUGGGGAAUUUUGGACAAUGGCGCAAGCCUGAUCCAGCAAUGCCGCGUGCGGGAAGAAGGCCUUCGGGUUGUAAACCGCUUUUGGCAGGAACGAAACGGUGUCCGCUAAUACCGGGCGCUAAUGACGGUACCUGCAGAAUAAGCACCGGCUAACUACGUG